UCGUAGGUGGUUUGUCGCGUUGUUCGUGAAAUCUCACGGCUUAACUGUGAGCGUGCGGGCGAUACGGGCAGACUUGAGUACUGCAGGGGAGACUGGAAUUCCUGGUGUAGCGGUGGAAUGCGCAGAUAUCAGGAGGAACACCGGUGGCGAAGGCGGGUCUCUGGGCAGUAACUGACGCUGAGGAGCGAAAGCGUGGGGAGCGAACAGGAUUAGAUACCCUGGUAGUCCACGCCGUAAACGGUGGGUACUAGGUGUGGGUUUCCUUCCUUGGGAUCCGUGCCGUAGCUAACGCAUUAAGUACCCCGCCUGGGGAGUACGGCCGCGAGGCUAAAACUCAAAGAAAUUGACGGGGGCCCGCACAAGCGGCGGAGCAUGUGGAUUAAUUCGAUGCAACGCGAAGAACCUUACCUGGGUUUGACAUGCACAGGACGCCGGCAGAGAUGUCGGUUCCCUUGUGGCCUGUGUGCAGGUGGUGCAUGGCUGUCGUCAGCUCGUGUCGUGAGAUGUUGGGUUAAGUCCCGCAACGAGCGCAACCCUUGUCUCAUGUUGCCAGCGGGUAAUGCCGGGGACUCGUGAGAGACUGCCGGGGUCAACUCGGAGGAAGGUGGGGAUGACGUCAAGUCAUCAUGCCCCUUAUGUCCAGGGCUUCACACAUGCUACAAUGGCCGGUACAAAGGGCUGCGAUGCCGCGAGGUUAAGCGAAUCCUUUUAAAGCCGGUCUCAGUUCGGAUCGGGGUCUGCAACUCGACCCCGUGAAGUCGGAGUCGCUAGUAAUCGCAGAUCAGCAACGCUGCGGUGAU
Molecule: ribosomal RNA, 800 nt
Filed under: uncultured Mycobacterium sp.
Lineage: Bacteria; Bacillati; Actinomycetota; Actinomycetes; Mycobacteriales; Mycobacteriaceae
Description: bacterial SSU rRNA
Rfam family: Bacterial small subunit ribosomal RNA
Source: RNAcentral